GGGGGAAAGCGGGGGAUCUUCGGGACCUCGUGCUAUAGGAGGAGCCUGCGUCGGAUUAGCUAGUUGGUCGAGGUAAAGGCUCACCAAGGCGACGAUCCGUAGCUGGUCUGAGAGGAUGAUCAGCCCAGACUGGGACUGAGAACGGCCCAAGACUCCUACGGGAGGCAGCAGUGGGGAAUAUUGGACAAUGGGCGCAAGCCUGACUCCAGCAAUGCCGCGUGUGUGAAGAAGGCCUGCGGGUUGUAAAGCACUUUCAGUGGGGAAGAACAGAUUCCGGGUCAAUACCCCGGGGCCCUGACGUUACCCACAGAAGAAGCACCGGCUAACUCCGUG
Molecule: ribosomal RNA, 333 nt
Filed under: uncultured bacterium
Lineage: Bacteria
Description: bacterial SSU rRNA
Rfam family: Bacterial small subunit ribosomal RNA
Source: RNAcentral